RNAcentral lists this small RNA (103 nucleotides) under Flavobacterium frigidimaris. RNAcentral describes it as "Flavo-1 RNA". It matches the Rfam family "Flavo-1 RNA". The record is from RNAcentral. Lineage: Bacteria; Pseudomonadati; Bacteroidota; Flavobacteriia; Flavobacteriales; Flavobacteriaceae.
GCCUAGCCCCGAUAGUCCCGAGGCUUCGGGAGGAAAUCCUUUUGUUCCGGUCCCGAUAACUAUCGGGAGGAACAAAAGAUUGAAACGGAUAGCGGGAUUAGCU